Molecule: ribosomal RNA, 253 nt
Filed under: uncultured bacterium
Lineage: Bacteria
Description: partial 16S ribosomal RNA
Rfam family: Bacterial small subunit ribosomal RNA
Source: RNAcentral
UACGAAGGGGGCUAGCGUUGCUCGGAAUUACUGGGCGUAAAGCGCACGUAGGCGGUCUGUUAAGUCGGGGGUGAAAUCCUGGGGCUCAACCUCAGAAUUGCCUCCGAUACUGGCAGUCUCGAGUGCGGGAGAGGUGAGUGGAAUUCCCAGUGUAGAGGUGAAAUUCGUAGAUAUUGGGAAGAACACCAGUGGCGAAGGCGGCUCACUGGCCCGUAACUGACGCUGAGGUGCGAAAGCGUGGGGAGCAAACAGG